RNAcentral lists this transfer RNA (72 nucleotides) under Candidatus Woesearchaeota archaeon. RNAcentral's name for it is "tRNA-Val". It matches the Rfam family "tRNA". Rfam says of the family: Transfer RNA (tRNA) molecules are approximately 80 nucleotides in length. Their secondary structure includes four short double-helical elements and three loops (D, anti-codon, and T loops). Lineage: Archaea; Nanobdellati; Candidatus Woesearchaeota. RNAcentral also lists the same sequence under 1 other name. The record is from RNAcentral.
GGGCCUAUAGUCUAGCGGUAUGAUGCCACCUUCACACGGUGGAGGUCCCCGGUUCGAAUCCGGGUGGGCCCA